RNAcentral lists this ribosomal RNA (514 nucleotides) under uncultured bacterium. Its description in RNAcentral is "bacterial SSU rRNA". It matches the Rfam family "Bacterial small subunit ribosomal RNA", at positions 211 to 717 of the family's 1533-position model. The record is from RNAcentral.
CCUUGCGCUAUGAGAUGAGCCGAAGUCGGAUUAGCUAGUUGGUGAGGUAAAGGCUCACCAAGGCGACGAUCCGUAGCUGGUCUGAGAGGACGACCAGCCACACUGGGACUGAGACACGGCCCAGACUCCUACGGGAGGCAGCAGUGGGGAAUAUUGGACAAUGGGGGCAACCCUGAUCCAGCGACGCCGCGUGUGUGAAGAAGGCCUGCGGGUUGUAAAGCACUUUUAGUGGGGAUGAAAAGCCAAGGGUUAAUACCCUUUGGUCUUGACCUAACCCAAAGAAAAAGCACCGGCUAACUCUGUGCCAGCAGCCGCGGUAAUACAGAGGGUGCAAGCGUUAAUCGGAAUUACUGGGCGUAAAGCGUGCGCAGUCGGUUAUCUAAGUCGGAUGUGAAAUCCCCGGGCUCAACCUGGGAAUUGCAUUCGAUACUGGAUAGCUAGAGUUCGGCAGAGGGAAGCGGAAUUUCGGGUGUAGCGGUGAAAUGCGUAGAUAUCCGAAGGAACAUCAGUGGCG